Aethalodelphis obliquidens (Pacific white-sided dolphin) is the source of this 13589-nucleotide long non-coding RNA. RefSeq lists it as uncharacterized. The record is from RefSeq and is a predicted model, not a curated record. NCBI's taxonomy places the organism in Eukaryota, Metazoa, Chordata, Mammalia, Artiodactyla, Delphinidae. The transcript has 5 exons.
AUGGGCAGGCGGACUCUCAACCACUGCGCCACCAGGGAAGCCCUUGACUGACUUUUAACUAUAAGUCACAUGUUCCUGUUUCUGCAGGAACUUUUGGGUUGUUUACUUGGCAUUGUGAGGGACACCUCCUGGAGGCUGGCUUCUCUGAACUUCUUGGAAGAGUGCUGGGCUGUGCUCUGGAGGGUCUUGAACUUGUGGAGGCUGGCUUCACAGCCCGCUAGGACAGAUCUAUUUUAGUUUCCCCUUGGUUCGAGCACCGCUUGGUCAUCUUUGCUGUGAGGCGUGUUUCUCCCAGGGUUUCAGUGGGGAGUGAGCGCCCAGCCUCUGAGCUUGGUGAGACUCGGAUCCACACCCCGUGGCCCCAGCGGAGGUGCCGUCCACUCAGCUCUCCAGGUCUCUAGGGCCCCUUCUCCCCCGCCCCGCGGGGUCCUCCCUGUUAUGCAGGUCAGGGCUCAGCAAGGGUCUGAGAGAACUAAACUCAGACUUGGGGGCUCCUCACCCUUCUCUCCUCCAGAAUCCCCUCGAUUUCCAUCGGCCUUGGAAGCCCUUUAGACAGGGUUCCCUUCAUCCCGGCUCUUCCCCGCACGCCGGGGCCCCCUCUUUCGGCUGUUUGGAGCCCUGAGACCACAGCGGAAAUGGCCCUGAGCUUGCCUCUUCCAGGCCGCCCAGCAGACGCGUGAGGCAGGGCGUUCUGGGCCCAGCCGUCCCCGCGGGGUUGCACGUGUCCGUGGCUGUAAGAAGAGCCUGGAGAGGGCAAGGGAGCCACCCCGCAGAGCCCACGACGCAGACCCAUGGAAUCUGAGCAAAUAAAGCAACUGUUUACGCCAGCCGCUUUUGGGUGCUGUGCUUGGCAGCAGUAGGUAAGCGACAUACACCUAGAGGGAACGUAGUUCAGUAGAUCCUCAGACACGCAUUUAAACGUCUUAACGUUUUCAGAGUCAUGAUGUGUUUUAUCAUUCAUAGCAAGCGUGUCAUAGUUUAUCAGCAGUGAUCAGUUGUUCUUUCUUACUUAGUACAUAAACUGGUCAUAGGUUUUCAAACAAUGGCUUCUUAGAGUCAAUGAGAUACAGUGCAUUUGGAAAAACUGGACUAAAGACAGAGAGCUUGUUGACUGCUGGACUUCAGGGCCUUAGUGUGGACAGCGAGUCUUCAGGAGGGAGUCCAGGACCCCCACAAUGAAGCAAUAUGUCGCUGUGUGUACACAGGCAUGUGUGAUACUGUGUGUGAAUAACCCACUGAUACGAGAUGAAGGAAAAUCCCUUAAACCACCGGACCGUCCCUCCUCUUACCUUCCGAUGUCUCAGAGGCAGUGUCUGGGGACUCAGUUCAGGAAGUUGGGAUCUCCGUCAUUUCUCGAGGCAGACCAAUCAAUUACACUGGUUUCUUCACUUCGAUGGCCUGAGAUGUCAGAGAACUUAUUCUGAAAACGCAGUAGUGUGGGAAAAAAAGGCAGGGAAUGAAAUGGGAUUUGAAAGAGGAAAGCAAUGCGUUGUUUAGGGCCAAGACAACCGUGCGUAAAUCUCAAAGAGAAAAUGCUAAUGUUGGUAAUUUUGUUGUUAAUAUUUAAAGUACGCUCCUUCUACUAAGAAUAAUAGAAACUUCUGUAUUAAGAACGGCACCGAACACUUGUAUCAGCUCUGGCUCCUCCUGGCCCUGAGGUGAGCCUUCCCUGUCAGCUGGUGUAAAUGUAAACUCUCUCCACAAGGCAAACGUCCACUCUCACUGUGGGAGAAACAGAUUAGCUGAUGGAAGAGAAAUGCCAAAUUAAAGGCAUUUGUAUCCCAGAUUAGCAGCAUAUGUUAAAAAAUGAUGUCCCCAGUUAAUUUUUCCGCGGCCUGGAAAUGAGGUUUCUAAUUUACACAGUAGUUUUUUUAAGCAUUGGAGAGUUUUCUGAUUAUGGGAAGUAAAGUACGUUAGAAUUUCAGAAUAUUAACAUUGGAAGGGGAAUCUCUUCUACAACAGCCCCAUUUGACUGUCUUGGUGAGAAACCUACCAUUUCAUUAUAUAACCAGACUUCUUUACUAAGCUGAUUGUUUUCUUUGUAAUGGUAACUUAUUUUUAAAGCGGUUUACUAUCUGUUUUUCUGUUAUAAAAAUAAUUCAUGCUCAUAAGUAUAGAAGGUUUAGAACGGCAGAGAGAAGAGAAGAGGCCACAGGAGAGGCGGCCUGACAGUGCUGGGUUCGCAGCUGGGCAUGGUGUGCGCUGUGUCCCGCACAGCCCCUCUGGGCUUCUCACAAUGGCGCCCGUAGGACCAUGUGCACUGAUCUGUCUUCACACUUGACACCACAACUUAAACAUUUCCCUCUUACUACACGCUUGCUCUGAACCUUCUCUUUAACAGCCCUACACACUUGUUCGUGCUGUGGGCUGAAUGUCUGUGCCCCCAAAUUCAUAUGUUGAAACCAAACCCUCAAUGUGAUGGGGUCAGGAGGUGGGCCUUGGGGAGGUGGUGAGGUCAGGAGGGUGGAGCCCCCAUGAUGGGCUUAGAGCUCCUAGAGGAAGAGACCCCAGAGAGACCCCUGUCCCUCACCCCCCACCCCCCGUGAGGUCGCAUCUGUGAACCAGGAAGAGGCCCACUACACACUGAGUCUGCUGGGCCUUGGCCUUGGCCUUCCAGCCUCCAGAACUUGGGAAGCGCCUUUCUGUGGUCUGUCACCCACUGUCCUGAGCGGACUCACACAGGUGGGUCCCACGGUGGCUUGGAGGUCCCUAGGCGGGUGAUGGUCUCCUUCAACCACGGGACAUUGUUUUGUGCAUCUAAGGGCGAUGGUGGCUGUUUCCUUCCUGAGUUGUCAGCUACAGUUUCAGCACUGAAGCACUUUUAUCUUUUCCUCUGUAGCUUCUCUGUGUUGAAGUCUGAGUGGCCAUGAGGGGUAGCAUGGAGUCAAUGUGCACUGGGCCCCGCGAUGUGCCGGUCCCUCCAUUUGAACACUUGCUGCUCCCACAGAGGGAGGCAGGGUUUUCCCCAUUGCCGUGACUCUGGGAGCCCAAGUCAUGAGCCCCGAGCAGCAUAGCCUCUGAGGGGGAGGCCGGGGCCCCAGUCUGGUCCGUGUGGCUUCAGAGCUGCUCUGAUGGACAUGCCCCCUCGGCCCACAGGGUGGCCCAGUCUCCGUCUGGGGGCAGCCCGGCCUCUCUGCUUCCCCCCAGCAAGGACCCUGGCUGCUGUCUCCAGCUCAGCGCCUCAUUCCCCUCCGAGCUCCAGGCCGCCGGCCGUUCAGGCUGGGGCACGACCCAGAGCAGGCCCAGCCGGUCAGUGCUGCUCCUUUGGUCACUGGCUCCCUGGAGGCCUGCUCGGUCCUAGUCUUUGAGGGGAAAGAAAGUUUGUUUGUGAGUAAAACCAUUUGUUCCUGGCUUUACGCAUUAUUACCACAGCAGUGAUGUCUGUUGGGUCUGUGUGUGUGCAGUGCUAAUGUCCUUUUAUCCCCAACCUCCUGGAGCAGCUCAGAGGGCAGGGGGCAGACAGUGGCGGGUCCCUGGGCACGUCUGUGUCCCUGGGUCCCCAUCAGAGUCACAGGGGCUGAGUCGGUGGCGGUGAAGGUGGAUGGUGGGUUGAGAGGUUUAAUGGAGAUGGCUUUUCCUCUAAGUUCCUCUCCUCAAACCCUUGUUACCGCGUGCAUUUCCGUCCCUGGCCCUUCGCUUAUAAAAUGCAAACGGGCCGCGUUACUUAGUGGGUCAGCCCCCAGCAGGGCCAGUUGCUGCCCUCGCUGAGCCUUCCGAGGGGCCUGAGGUGCGGGCCCUCCUGGGGGCCCUCGGCGCCUCCCGCACAGCCCCGGGCCGCCCCCAAGGAGCAGGAGGGAUGUGCAGGUGGGCCUGGGGCCGGGGACCAGGAUGUGGGCGCGGUGAGCACCUGCGUGUUUCCACACCAUCGUUACGUCGCUGCAAGUUUAGAGAAGUUCCUUGCAAAAUAAGCCACGUAAAUAUUGUGGAGGUCACGUUUUCCAAUCCCAAACCUAGGAUCUUUUUGCAAAUACCGUGGAUGAUGUGGGCUCUUGACAGGUGCUGGUGGAGGGCACUUCGAGAAGGACCGCGGAGGGGCCGGGCCUGGGAAGCGGGUCAAGGGCCUGGAGGCUUGGGGUGCAGGCGCGGAGGGACUGGGGCGCCGGGGCUCCCGGGCUGGCCCAGGGCGGGGAGGGGUCGCCGGGCGGCGGGAGAUGGGUGGGGCUCGCUGAUUUCUGGGGCGAGUUCUCCCCGCUGAGCAGGUUUCAGGCCGCGGCAUCCUGCCCCGACCGCUGGGGUGGGAGGAGAGGAGCGCGGCGGGUGACUCAGCCGUCAACACUGGAAACAGCGUUCACGCAGCACCGCUGUUAACCUAAGUGCGUUGCCCUUGAUGAUCUGGCUCCUUUGUCUGCAAGCUGGAGCCGCGUCCCAGUCUUUCGUGCACUUACUCUUGCAGGCGAGCGUCAGAUUUGUUUUGUCCAGCCUGCAGGAGUGGCGCCCCUCUGGCCUUCUGUUUGGAAUUACGCCGUUAGAUUUAUUAGGUUCUGGUUGAUGUCUUUUAAAAUAUAGAGCCUGCCGAACUGGGAACGUUCCACCUCUUUUUAAAUGAUGCUCAGUUAAAGUGCAUCUUUUUUACCAGCUUGUCCAGGGCCAGAGAGACCAAGGCAGAUGGGGCGCCUGUAGAUGAACUGAGACAACGCCCCAGAACCCCAUGGACGCAGAAGCAGAGGCGGUGAUCAAGCCCGGCCCCCAGGGCGAGUCCUCAGGGUUCUGUUCCCCCCGCUCCAGCCAGGCCGCCCCUACUCUGGCCCUUCAAAGCCUUCAGGUGCCUCAUCUACUCACCACUGUGUGCAGACAGGCAGUGCCGGGUGUGCUGUGACUUUGACAGAUUUAUAAGGAACUGGCUUAAGAGUCCCCCCGGAUCUUUAUUCCCUGGAAAGAUCUAAUAGGGCCAGUGUCUAGGAAUUCUGUGACUGAGUUAAGGUUUUCUACUUCCAAGCAGAGAGAAAGCUAGCAGGUCAACGUCUAGGGAUCCUUUGGACGUUGCCCUUCACUGGAACUAGAAGGAGCAGGAGACCCUUGGCCCGUUUGUUUCUCUGUGUCCCAAAGUAUCUGCCUCCUGGGUUUACAAGUCCUGAUGACAAGGGCAGAGAGGGGUGACUUCUGACUUGGGCCAGAUCCCUACACACUUCUGUAGGCGGCAUGCGGCCUCGGCCACCGCCAGGGAGCAACAGGGAGCAAGUUAAUAGGGGCCUGCUUUCUGCAGUGACGCCUCAGUUCGCAGGGUGCAGAGGUGACCAAGACAUCACUUGUCCCAGGAGACUUAGAGUCCAGCGGAAAACGGGACUAGAGUGUUCAUGACGGCGAGAGCCCCCGAAGCGGGUGAAGGCCCUGGAAGGUGCUGGUGGGCACAGCGUGAGCCGAGCUGCACUUCAGGAAGGUCACCCUGCGGCUGGUUUGGGGAAGAAUAUGGGGGGAGAAGGUUCACGGAGAGACCAGCUAAGAAGCUGCUGGUUAACACCCACAAAAUGAGGCUGUAAACGAGGGGAUGGGGUAGGGUAGGUGGUGGCUGGAGCCGACGAGACGCCCUGAUGACCUGGCUGUGAGGACGGGGUGAUUCCAGGGCUUCUGCGUCAAAGUGUAAGGGGACAAACCCAUUUGGGAGGAAGACACUAAUCUGUUCUUCUCAUGAAGUAGAAGCUUAGGUCACUGAUUUUCCUAAUUUUCUUUUUUUUCUAUCUGUAUUUCAAGUUAUAAAAUUUCCGCCAAGGAUUGCUUUAGUUCAGUCCUACAAAUUUUGAUACAUUGUAUUUUUGUUAUCAUUCAGUUCAAAAUAUUUUAUAAUUUCCCUUGUGAUUUCUUCUCACAUCUAUUUAGACAUGUGUUGUUUAACUUUUCAUACUGGAUAUUUUCUAGUUAACUUUUAUUAUCAACUUCUAGCUUAAUUUCGUACAGAGAACCUGCUCUGUAUGGUUUUAUUUCUGUGAAGUUUGUCUAGACUUUCAUGUGGUCUAUUUGGUGAGCAUUCCAUGUGCACUAGAAAAAUACACACUCUGCAGUUGUUGGCUGACGUGUUCUAUAUAUGUUCCACAUGUGUAUGUUCUGUAUAUAUGUUCUACAUAUGUAGAUAUGUUCUAUGUGUGUUCUUUACAUGUGUUCUCUAUGUGUUUUGUGUGUUAUAUAUGUUCUCUCUAUGUAUAUGUUCUAUAUAUGUUGAUUAGGCCAAGUUGGGUGAUAUUUUUGGUUAAUGUUUUGUUCACACUUUCUGUAUCAAUGACUUUUUGGCAGGCUUGUUCUAUCAGGCACAGAGAAGUGUGUUUAAAUCUCCAGUUAUGGUGAUAGAUGCGUCUAUUUCUUCUGUUAGUUCUGUCCAUUGCCUCAUGUGUCUGAAGCUCUGUCCCCAGGUGCUGGCACACUUAGGACUAUUACGUCUUCCUGAUGAAUCGACCCUUCAUCACCGUGAAGGGGAAGAAGAUGUGGGUGUACAGGGGAUGAUGUCGGAUGUGCAAGUGGAAAUUUGAGUUUGGAUCUCAGGAAGAGACACCGAGCCAUAAGGGAAGACACACCCGUCUCUGCUUUAUAAGUGACCCCACCUGUGCGAGAUGAGCUGGCCGUUUCCUUUCCCCAGUUUGUUUGAUCGAAACAUGGCUGUUGUAAACUUUAUCCCUAAAUACCCUUGCUAGGUGAGUAACUGGACCAUGCAAUUUGUGUCGCACUAUUAAUGGUUUGCUUGAUCGAGUUAAUUACUGCAGGGGUGCACGGUGGUGGGAACUGCAGCUGACCAUCCCUGAGGGCUACCUCUGAUGGCCUCUCAGAUUAUGCAGCUGUUUCCUUCCCAGGAUUCUGGCCUCUUUGAAGAGCACCCAGCGGUGAGGCUUCCCACCUGUGCCUUCCAUCUCAGUCUCCUCGCUGUGGUCCAGUCGCAACAUCUAAUCACUCUGGAAUGACUGAAUGUUUCUGUUGUUUCUCUUUGACAUUGAUAUCAUAAAUAACAUCGUGAUGACUAUUCUUGCACAUAAAUCGUGUGCACAACUGAAUACUUAAAUUGGAAAAAUUCCUAGAAAUGGAAUUACUGGGCCAAAUGAAAUGAACAUUUUAAAGUUAGAAUAUCUUUAAGGUUUAUAGAGUAAAUAUGGAAUAAUAACAUGCUAUAUGAUAUGAGUUGUACUGUAUUAUGAUAAUACUAUGGUAUAAUAAAGCCACUAAAUAUAAAGUUUGUAAUGUCACACCACAUAAUACAGCUGUAGCCUCUGAACAGUGCCAUUUUUAUAGGCAAUUACGGCAUCCAGCUUUUUAUUUUACUUAUGGGGAGUGUAACCUUUUCCUCAUCCUUUCUGUCUUUUAUAAUUUUGACCAUUGAUUAUCUGUUUCUGUUAGUCGGUUUUCUAAGUGUUGAUACUUUUCUUACUUAGAAGCUCCUUGUGGGGAGAUGGAGUUUCUGCCACAAGAAGAAGUCGGGACUGGCUGACACUUAUUUAGCUCUUACUGGCAUCAGGCUGGUUCUAGGGCAUCUGCAGUGGACACAGUCUGUCCCCACAGAGGUCAUGAGGCUGGGAGUGGGCUCGGGGCCCAGCCUGCCAGUCCCCCACACCCAGGCUGCAGCUCGGAGGGAGCCUCAUCAGCACACAAGCACAGCGGUCCUCGUCCCGUGUGGGAGGAGCCGGAGCGCGCCCCUCACGUGCCUGUCAGGAAGUGCUCCCUACGUUGGCCCCUUGCUGGUCAGCUGGAGGGAGGUGGGCCUGGGGGAGGUCCCCGGAUGACGGAGGGAGUGGGCUUGGGCACCCGUCCUAUCCCGGCUCCUCUGAGAGCCAAGGGGCAGAACGGGGCUGCCGGGGGGCAAAUGCCGUCCCCGCCAUGAUGGCCUGGACCCCUGCACCAUCCGGAGGGGGCGUAGAGGGGGCCGAGGCUUGGGUGAGUCCCAGCCCAUCGGGAACUUUGCUCAGAUGACGUCACAGUCAGACGCCACUGGGACACCUUUCACUCUUCUGGUAUAUUUUGCAAACAAGCGUCCUUUCAACUUGCUCUUAAACAUUAUUUAGAAAACAUUCUCGGAGAUGCUUCCCCAGCCCCGGGUGGGCAGACGGAGACAUGAGGUCACCUGCCCUCCCGCUCCUGGGGGGCGCCUGCCGCAGGGUCACCCUGCGCUUCCGAGGGAUAAAGGUGCCCCCUGACCCGGGACUGAGCAGGUGCCGUGGGGAACGUCCUCCUUUCCUGGUCACCCUCUUGACGGCCCACCACGGUGCCUUCAGGAUCAGUGGGGGGGCACGUGACACCUCCCAGCAGCCCUCUCGCUGACCCAGGUUCAGUUACCAGGCAGCCUCGAGUGUCGCCGGCAGGACAGGCCGGGCUUAGUCUAGCCCUCGCUGGUCUGGUGGGCAAGCUGCCCACUGGUCUCCACGGGGGCCUCAUCAGUGUGGGGACAGGGCCGGGGGGCGUGAGCAGGGAUGGGAGGGCCCUGGAAGCAGGCGGGGCAGGUGGAGGCGCUGGGGCAUUUAGGGGAACCUGCCCCGCGUCCUCUCCUCCCCCGCUCCUGUUCUGCAGGGAAGAUGGCUGAAGCCCAGGUUAUUCAAGAAAUUUGCCCGAAGCCACAGAGGAGGGUGACAUCCUGCGUCCUGAGCCCUGGCAUUUCUGGAGCAGCUGGGACAUUGUAGAGGCAGGUUGGCAGAGGCCACUCACGUCAUCUGAUUUCAGGUCUGCCCGAAGGUGACCCCGCACAGACUCUGAAGAAGCUCAAGGCCCCCUCACUUGUCUUUCUCAUUCCCUGCUGAGUUUUCACCCUGGGCGGGGCCUGGGGACCAGAGCAAGGGGCUGGGCACACAGGGGGGCUGGUGCUUUAUGGAUAUCCCACCUGACACAGAGCCUAGGCAGCUUGCAGUGACCGGCAUGCCGCGGCCCGCGGGCUGCUGAGGGCGGGGCUGCCCUGGGCCAGCUCGGCCCGUUUACACCGUGGCCUCAGCCAAAGGCGCUCCCUCCUGGGCUGUGGCCUCCCUCUGCCGUUGCAAGGCUGUCGUCAGGCCGGCGAGGCUGGGAGCCAAGGUCCGGGGGCGGCAUGGGGCCACGUGGGGUGGGGGUCGGUGGCAUCACCGACAGUCUGCUUUGACCCCUGCUCCAAGCGCUGCAAGGGCACGGGCCAGCAGGUGAAUGCCAGGAGAGGUGGCCCCAGGAUGCGCUUUCCAACUGCCCGGCUGGUGGUCACAGAGUGGACACCCAGUCAUGGUUCUUGAGCACGAGCCUGGCUCCGGCCUCACAGAUUUUCUCAGCAGUGGCCAGUUGGGCACAGGGUGUGGGGCUGCUGAGCCCUCACAGCCUUGCGUUCGGGCCACAGCUGUCCCCACCCGCCACCUCUCCUGUGGGCUUGAAGCCCCUCACUGCCUCUGCCCUGCACUCUGACCCUUCUUUCCCCUCCUGAGCUCUCGGCGUUGUUGUCCGCAAAGCCCUGCAUGGUCUCACGGCCAGAUGGACAGCCAGAUGGACAAAUGGAGGGAUGGAGAAGGAGACACAAUGCAGACCUGCUGCGGUCGAGGACCGUGAGCCACAGCGAAGUCCACGAAGGGCCCGGUGGUCGGCGAUGCAAACAGGUGACGAUGACACGCCGCCCACGACCUCUGCGGAGUCCUGUCCCCAUUUCCACGAAUAAGGAAGUUAAUCUGUAAACUUUCAGCAGGACCUGCAUCCAGGUGGGGCAGCUGACUGGAGAAGCAGGGGCCUGGCUACCUGACGUCUACGUCCGUGGGUCAGGCUGAGGCUCAGAAUUAAAGAGAAAGCUCUCUGUAAAGAAGAGACGCUCGCUGUCUCCAAGACUAAAGACAGCAGAUUGGGGCGAAGAGAGAUGGGAACCCCAGUGAUGCUGGUGUCUACCGCAGCUUGGUGAGAGCGGCGCUGAGGCCACCUCUUCCAGGGCCGUACCCGCCCAGAGCCAAAAGCGCAGGCCCGGAACCCAUUCCCACUUCCGGGACGUUGUUCUGUGGCGAUGCUCCAGCACAUGCAGAAGCGCUCAAACAUUCAUCAACGGGGGUGUGGGAUAAACCAAGCGCGUCCGUGCCGUGGCACAUCACGCAGCUGCUACAAGGAAAGCACAUCUGUGUGCAGACAGGCAAGACCCACACGGCCCGUCUUAACUAAAAAAGCAGAAACUUCUACACAAUAUGACCUACUUUCCACGAAGAAAAAGAAGAAAGCGCGGGAGGGAGGGAGGGAGAGGUUUGCGUAGACGUAGAGGAAACUAUUGGGAACAAGACGAUUCACUCUGGAUGUUUACUUCUCAAGCAGUAAGAGCCAGAUGGAGGGCGAAAUUCAGAGCUUUUUCACCUUCUGGGUAAUAUCUGCCUAUAAUAUCUGAGGUUUGGUAACUCCUCUGUAUAAUUUCUCUAACCUGAAAACCUGAUAAAAAGCACCAUUGAAAAAACGCCAUUCUUGCUAAGAAAGGAAGGUGCUUGUUGCCCGUCCCGACAUCACCUAUUCACUUCCCUUCCUUGCGAAUGCAACGCAUUCCUACCUUAAGCAAAUUCUCAUGAAGCUCUUUCCACCAGUGGACAGCUGACAAUGUACCUGGCACCUGGGGCUCUCAGAAACUCACAGGAGGCUGGUCCGUCUGCUCAUUUCUAAGUCAGCUUUUGGAGAACUUGACCUUUAGCAGUGUGCGGUAUUCCUCUUGGAAUGAAGCAGUUUGGUUGAACAUGGAGCUUACUAGAAAUAGAUUUUAUCUGUCUGUAGCACAAAUGCAGUCAGGGGUUAGCUCCCAGAAGGCACACACACAUACGUGCACAUAUGCAGGCACGCAUGUGCUCAGCCCUGGCCCUAGUUAGCAGGUUCUCAGGUUCUGUGGAGCUGUGGGGUGGGUGUGUUGGGAGCCGCAGGUGCCCCCCCGACCCUUGCAGGGCUGCCGGGCGCCCCGCGCAUCACCCCCACCGCUGACCGGAUGCUGCAAGGAGCACGUCCAGGCAGGCGGCGUAAGUGCCCUGGGGAAGGUGGCUGCGUGCAAAAGCCGCGAGCUGCCACGUGCCCCGCUUCCCACCGCGCGCCGUCCAGGCUCCGCUUUAGACACGGGAAGAUCUCCUCCGAAUGGCCUCAGUUUGAGAUCCUGGGGCCUCGGCAUUUGCUGGCCAGGGUCACCCAGCGAACAGACACGAAAUGGGUUUUACUCAAGCGUCACACUUGGCGGCUUGAGGACAUUCCACACGCGUUUACAACAUUUUAUUUGGUCACCCCCUCCUCUGCUAACAGUGAGUGAUAUUCACUCUCCCCUCUGCUGUCAGUCAGGCCAGGCCUCCCCGUUCCAGGCCCGCGGCCUUGGCUCCCGGCAGCUGACGGACGUCCAGGUGCACAUCUGACUCCCACGCUCCACCAACGGCCCCGGGCACCCUGGGAGCUGGCUCUUCAGUUGGUCGUGCAGAUCUGGUCGCAGCAAAUCGUCUGAGCUGGGGAGCCGGGUUGCCGGGGGCUCCGGGUGGACGCUGCCACUCUUUGACCAGGCUCCUCUCACAGGGGGCUUGGGUGCACACCCCAGAGGGACGCUGCAGGGCGACGGCCUCGCGGCGCCCCCCACCCCCGCCCCCGGACGUCCAGCCACCACCCCCGCCCAGCCUGGCCCUGCCUGCCAGGCCCCGCCCCCUGGAGCCAGUCAUCCCGAUGGCUGGCACUUGCGCUCAGGUCUGUGAUGCCUCAGAACGAAGACUCUGUGGCCUCAUUGUUAAAGGGGACCAGUAUCAUAAAGGGGUUGGAGAACCGAGUGCAGCGGCACAGAAAGAAGAGCCUGGAUGGCGGUUCGCUGGACCCAAGUCCUGGGCUACUGCCACCUUGAUCUUUCCUGGUCUCUUUGAAAAUGGGUCUGUCUGCACGGCCAAACAACAUAAAGCACAAAACUACCGAAAUGCUGGAGUGUAACAAUCGUUAGGUUUAAACCCCGGGCGGUUACAAGGAAGGACAGGGCGCGGGAGCCGCGGGGGACCUGCAGGGUGCCCUCCGAGCCGUUCCUCGAGCCGGACAAGCUGUGCAGCCUGCAGUCCCGGCCGGAGGGCCGGCUGGGGCACAGAGUCGGCCGCCACAUCCUCCCCAGCUCUCUCUGCACCUGGGGCGGGGGCGAGAGCAGGCGGGGCUCAGGCGGUGGGCAAGCUGGAACCGAGACCCCAGCUUCCCCCUAGGGCGAAUGCCCGUGGAUGAACGCUUCCCCUUCGGCCCUUUUCUGGGUGUGGAGGGUGUGAUAUCCAUGGACGCGGGGCGGGGACAGACGGGCCUGGGAAUGAAGAAGCGGAGAAGGAUGCGGGACCAGACGAGGGACCAAGAGAAAGGAGGUCAGACUACGGAGCCCAAGGCUUCAAUCCAGAGGCAGCGGCCGCUACACCCAGAGCCCGAGAGGGCUAAUUCGCCUUUUCAGAAAAGACCUCCUGUGGAAGCCGGGGCCCCAGCGCUUUGCCCUACAGUCCUGGUUCUGCUCCCUGGCUCCCGGGGGCGGGGGUGUCAGGGGGGUCCGGAAAGAACGAGGGGAGGGAGGUGCAGGAGUCGCUCAGACGACACGGGACAGGGAGGCACGGAGCACGCAGCAGACGCCGGCUCGGCCGGGGGAGCGGAGAGGUCUGGACACAGCCGGGGUGGGGCCCGGACGGGGGACCUGGGACGCCCCGGCGCAGGGGGCGGGGCCGGCUGGGAGCCAGGCGUCCCCUGCCCGCCUCCCCGCCGCCCGCGGUCCAGAGCCGGGGUUCUGGGCGCGGAGGGGUCUCCAGGCUGACCCUCCCCUAUCUGAGGACUCUGCGCGGAGGUGCUGCUUAGGGAUGGGAAACGUUUACAGAGCAGAGCCGGUGCUUUUCCUCGGUCUGGAGUUUCCUGCUACUGCCGCCGCCGAUGCUCGCUGGCGCUCCCGCUUGGCAGCCCCGAAAGAAGCGAGGAAAGCGAUGGAGGGAGGGGACCCUGAGGACCGCGCGGGGUGACAAGGAAGACGCGCGAGGCGCCGAGCGAGCCGCUGGAGACGCAGCCGCCGCCCAGGCAUGGCACUCACCCUGUGUCUUCUAGUGAAAGCCUGGCCGCAGUCCACGCACCUGUGCAGACGGUGGGGAUGCCUGCAGAAAGACACCUGGUGACCACAACCCCAUGCUGGUUACUUGCACCAGCCCAGCAGGGGCACACGUGGGAGCUUUCAUUAGCCUGAUGGUCAGGGACAAGGGCCUUCCGAUGAAAAGAUCAAGUGGAAGCUCUUCAUAAAUACAUACAGGCUUAUGCUCAUGCCUUACUAAGCAGUGAAGAUAACUGAGUAUGUGUCUGAAGGCUUCACAGUCCUGAAACACAUCUCUGUGUUUCUGGGUGUCAGUGUCAACGUGCUGGGGAGGCUGUGUUCAGACUUGGCAAAGACCUGCAGGGGAGUCCCUCGCUGUGAAGGUGGGGGUCCCGCAGCUGACGCACAGCCCUGCUGAUGGGCACGUUAGUGGGACCUCGUGAUGGAUGGCCUCCCUGCUUCUCCUCCUCCCAGGCCCCUUCCUUCUGACUUGCCCACCAUCAGGGUUUGCCCCAGGAAUGAGAGUCAGAGCAGUUUUAAAUCAGGUCCUGGCUCCCAGAAAUACUAAGCUGUUGGCUCUAGAAAAGCUCUUCCUACAGGGGCGGCACAGCAUUUUUCUGAGCUGAAAGCACCUGCAUUUAUAGGUCAGAGAGGACAGCAAUCAGGA